RNAcentral lists this long non-coding RNA (7943 nucleotides) under Homo sapiens (human). RNAcentral's name for it is "HSALNT0263373". The record is from RNAcentral. Lineage: Eukaryota; Metazoa; Chordata; Mammalia; Primates; Hominidae.
GACAGACCCUGAGAGCCUACUGACCACAGCAGCUCCUGUUACCACGGCUGCCGUUUCUGCUCUCAAUGCUACUGCUCAUUGAUCCCAGGGAGGAAAAUUCUGGUGCAUCACUUAGUAUUUAUUUCAGAUUUCAACCAAAACAACAUAUUGCAAGAUUGAAUGCAGAAGUAGAUGUGAGAACUCAUUCUAUUAAGCCAAGCGUAAAUGUUUAAAAAUGUAAAAUAAUACCACUCUUCUGAUAUGUUUUGGGAGAAAAUAUGUUUGUGGAAAAUAUACCUAUCAAAGAAAUAUCAGAAACCUUCCAAACUGAAGGACAUGUGUAUCCAGAUUAAAAUGACCUUCCAAAUGCUUAACAUAGUAAACAAAAAACAGGAGGAAAAGGAGGGGAGAAAAGAAAAAAAGAAGACUCACACAAGGCCGUGUUACGACAUUUCAUCAUACCAUAGAUAAAUCAGAUCCUGAAAGAUUUCAGAAAGGAAUAUGAGAUCACACAUAAAGGAACAGGAAUCAAAAUGACAUUACCCUUCUCAACAACACUGGAAGCUCCAAGAGAGUGCAGCAAUGCUUUCAUCCUCAGAGAAAAUAAUUAUCAAUACAAAAUAAUAUUCCCAGCUAAGCUAUCAAUCAUGAGGGUAGAAGAAAGGCAUUUUUAGCCAUUGCGUGGGAGUGCUAUAAUAAUGGUCCCAGUGAACCACACCUCCCUGUAUCCGCACCACUUUGCAAUGAGAAAUUUGCUGUUUCUCCUAGUGAGAGAGGGAGUCUAUUUCUUUACCCUUGGGCCUGGGCUGGCCUGGUGACUUGUUUUGACCAAUACAUGGAAGAAGUGACAUUAUGUGAGUUCUGCAGCUGAAGCUUUAAGAGGCCUUGAAGUUUCUCCUCACCUUCUUGGAACCUUGAGACCACCAUGCUGUGAGAAGCCUGGGCAUAUCUACUGGAGGCCGAGGGGCCACAUGACACGUCUAAAACUCAUACGUCAAGAUAUGGUAAUAUAAUGUGAAAUUCCUAGAGCAGCUUAAUAUUAAUAAUUUCCUUUGUGUCUCUGAGGUUUUGUUGCUUAAGAAGGACUUCUCAAAGAUUUAACCUUAUUUUUUACUUAAAGAGCAAAAAAAAAAACAAAAAACAAAAAACAAAACACGAUCACAAUAUAAGCCAGUAUAAGCAACUGGUUCGUGCAGGAUGGUGGUAGUUAUCAAAGAGAGCGGGGGGUCUAAAGCUCUAAGGAGUCGUCUGGAGAAAGCCAGGCAGAGACUUGCUGCUUUUCUAUUCUACUUCUUUCCCUUCUCAUCCAGCUUGAAAGCUGCACCCAUCAAGUGCGUCCUGAAUCUGACGAUUCACUAUCUUCACUUCCGCCAGUCUGCUCCAGGCCUCCAUCCUUUCUGGCCUAAAUGAACCCCAAAGCUGGCUUGUGUCCUGCAUCCAUCCACCACUCUUGCCCUUGUUUCACUUAUCUAUUGCUGUGAAAUAAACUUCAAAACCAAGUGAUUCAGUCUCACAACUCUGGUUUUCCUGGGCUGAGUGGGGUGGUUCCUCUAUUCAUGUGAUGUGGCUGGAGCUGUGGGCAUUUGUGGGCUUGAAUGGGCUGAGUGUUCACCGUGGUUCAUUCACAUGGUGGCAGCUGGCUAGGUUCUCAGCUAGGACGAUGGCCUCUCCAUGUAGCUUGGGCUCAGAGCUAGUGUUCUGAGAAGGAAGUAGAAGCUGGCAGUCCUAUUGAGGCCUGGGCUUGAAGUCCCAGAACAUCCUUUCCCACUGCCUUGUAAUGAUCAAAGUAGUCACAAGGCCAGCCUAGAUUCAAGGGCUUGGAGGAAUACUACCUUUCAGUCAAUUUCCCAGUUUCCAGAGGAUUUUAAAAAAACAAACGGCUCGACACAGUGGCAUGUGCUACUCGGGAGGCUAAGGUGGGAGGAUCGCUUGAGCCUGGGAGGUUGAGGUUGCCGUGAGCUGUGAUUACACCACUGCACUCCAACCUGGGUGACAGAUCAGACCUUGUCUCAAAACACUCUCCCCAAAACAAAUAGACAUAAUUCUCCUGCUGGAAUCCACUGCUCACUAGACUUACAUUGUAAUAGCCUGCCUCACCUGGCCCCUGCCUAACUCUGUCCCUCACACCUUUGCUCUGUCUCUAAAGGUCAUACUGCUGUUUCCCCAGCACCCCAAACUCACCACCCUUCAGGGACUUAGCCUAGAACAAUUUUCCUCCAGGACUUCACUUGGCCACUUCACUCCAUUGCUUCCAGACGGCUGGCAUUAUUUGCCCAUCUGUUUUGGGUCUCCUUCACUGGCAUGAAUGUAAGGUCCUUGCCAGCAGCACUUUUCUGUCCUAUCCUACAUUCACUCUUAGCAUCUAGAAUGGUGUUAUCACAGGAAAGGCAUAAAAGUAUACUCUGUGGUUAACUGAAUUUACUUGCCUAAAUCUUGGGCAUGUGAUGCUUUGAGAAAUAUACAAAUUAAUGUUAAACAGAACCACAGUGGUCAGUAACAGGCACAUCCAAGGAUACACUAGUCCUGCAUACAUACCCACUGGCAUGUUUCUACCUUCCUAAUAAGAGCUGACAGCCGUUUUGCUGCAUGCUGUACAGGACAGCUGCUGCUGCAAACUCAGCCUCUGAUGGGCCCAUAGUCGAUGUGCCCACUGCAUGCCUUGAACUCAGGGAAUUCAGACGAAAUCAUCACACACUCCAGCCAGAAGCUAGAGGGCUGCCGGCCUUGACAUUUUAAUGCAUUUUUGGUGUCAGCUGCCCUUCACUGAUUCACUCAAUUCUAGAGGUCUGAAUGAGAAUCCCUACACGCUUCUCAGGGGUUCUGAAGAAGCCAGUGUAGCCCAAGGUCAUCAACCCAAGUGAACCCACAUUUAUCCAGGAAGCAAGAGGUGUGGCAAGGGCAGAAUUCUAACAGACAUCCAUUCCACAUGUGUCAGAGACAAAACUAAGUCCAAGAUAAAAUCGACAAAGGCUAUUUAUUCAUAAACGUGCAGCAGGGGAACCCUUCUGCUGAAACCUUUGUUUUGGUAAGUGUUCAGAGGUGUUAAGACGUUAUAGAGUAAAAAGGAGAAAUACUGACAGUGUUGACUUGGCAAAUGUCAUAUAAGGGUAGGAUUUGUGGAAGCAAGCCAAGAGACAAAGUGGUCUUCAAGUACAUUUGACUUGAUUAGCUUCAAGGAGGCAGGUGAGCAGUCUGGGACCAUUUCAAAAGAGGAAAGGGGCGGAGAGUUUUCUGUGGCCAGCCAUUUCCUGGAAAAAGUGAUGGUUGAUGGGAUGCUUUUUUGCAGUCUAUCAUCAUGGUUCUUAGGGGUGUAAAAAGUAAAGUGAGGUUCCUCUUCAAAGACUUUCCUCCCUGUCUAAUUAAGAAUAAAUAGUAACUUCUCUUAGGAGCAAAACUUAUUCAAAGACCUGUGCUAACAUUCUUAAAUAUCUGCUAGCCGUAAUAAAGAAAUCAAUGUACUUUAUGUUCUUAGCUCCCACAAUUUAGCCUAUUUGCCCUGGCAAUGCUUAUACUGGUCCAAGCAAGCAUUAGGUCAUAGCCUGUUCCUCUUCCUUAUCUGAAGGUGUUUUUACGUUUCUCAGCAUUCCACAAGUUACUUCCUCCUUCAUUCUCCUCUGCCUUUGCCUCUUUUAAAAAGUUCUAAGUUGCUAGCCAAUCAGGACAAAUACAGAAUGUGAGGUCCCGUUCCAGCCAAUGGAAACUGGACACAGCAGUAAAGUGGACUUGUCAAGUUAUAAAUGACCCUGUCUCCUUUGUUCGGUGUUCUCUCGUGGCAAAACUGCUGGCGAGUGUACCCUUUCUGCAGAAAGUAUAAAAAUGACCUUGCUGAAGAAAUUAAUGUUCAAGUGCUAUUUCUUUGCGGCACUGAAGAACAAGCAUUUCAAACAGAGGGUAGGGUGGGGUGGUGGUGGUGGUGUUAUGUGGUUGCCACAGCUAAGUUAAGUUUUUCACAUGGAUCAUUAACUUUCAAAUAAUUAAAAUUUUAGAGAUGCAAGGUAUCUUAAAGUUCAUCUGGUCACUCUGACCACCCACAUUCCCACUCUCAUCCCAAGUUCAUUUAAUGGAUGGAAAAACUCAAACAAAAGGUAGUUUGGCAUCUAACCCUUAGCAAAGGUUAGAUGUGGAAUUAGAAGUUUUCCUGAAUCCUAGGACUGUAGUAUAACCAUCAUGCAUUUCAAAAGUAAAACAAAAAAGGAAAUUUAAAAAAAGAAAAUACAGUAAGUAGCCACAUAAACCGCUUCUAGCUGGGUCCACUGGUCCCCCUGCUUCUUGUUUAUUAACGGAAUCUGUUCAGGGGCUCUAGGGCUCAGAGCUUUAGGGGAGUCUGAGCCCUUCUCCAGCCCUGGGGUGAUGGGUCUUGAUUGAUCCAGGUCAAAUUCUCCACAGAUUUAAUUCUGGCCAAUGAAUAUGAGAAGAAAUGAGAAGGUGGAAAGGUGUCUUAGUCUACUUUUUGCUGCUAUAAUAAAAAUACCAAUACAUGGGGUAAAUUAUAAUGAAGAGAAAUUUAUCUCAUGGAGUUCUGGAGGCUGGGGAGUCCCAAAAUCAAGGUGUUGGCAUCUGGUGAGGAGCUUCUUGCUGUCCACCCCAUGGUGGAGGGUGGAAGGGCAGAAAGAGAGAGAGGGCUGGAGGCCAAUAGGUGGCUGAACUCAUUUUUUUAUGAGGAACCCACUCCCAUAAUAACAGCAUUAAUCCACUCAUGAGAGCAGAGCCCCCAUGACCCAACCAUUUCCCAUUAGGUCCUACCUCCCCACACCCACUGCACUGGGGAUCAAGUUUCCAACACAUGGAACUUUGGGAGACACAUUCACGACAUAGCAGAGGACCACUGGAGAAAGGAAGGUUUUUAAAGAUUUUUUUUAGGACACUAUGGAAGUGAUAGCCAUUGGACAUGGAUGGUGUUUUUGUUUUUGGCAUGGGAAAAGGCUUAUACAACUCUGGUCAACUUGGCAACACUAAUCAAAAGUCAAAAUCUCCUUUGACCCUAGGGAUCCCCUACUAUUAACAGUAUUAUAUCUUAUAGAACCUAGGUAUUUAGGAAAGAAAAAAAUGUUCAAAGAUGUAUUGACAUUUAAUAAAAGCAAAUAACUGGACAUAACCCAGCUAUCCAAAUACAGGCUAUCAGGAAACACUGUGAAGGACUUUGAAAUAGGUCUUGCCCACUGCCCCCACCCCUGCCUCCAAUUACUGAGUGUUCUGUCUAAUCUAGCCCACCUUUCUGAGUUGAUUCCCUUUCAUUUCACUGCCUUUGAGCUACUUUACAAUUACGUAAAUUAAGGGAAACUGAUAAUGCAGAUGAUUCUUGUUCAUAGAAAUGCAAAUUGUGACCAAUGGAAUAUAACUGAUUAUUGUUCUGCAGGUAUCAGCCAAUUUUGCCAGUUUUGUAACUACGAAGCAAACUCAUUUCAGCAUUCCUGCUAGGCUUAUAAUUAUUUGUUCUUUGGAUUCUCCUUUGAGCCAAUUAAAGUGUCCUACUGGUUCUCUCAAUAAUUAACAAGUUAAAUACAAUCAUCUUUAACAUGUUACUUUUAUAUUUGUAUGAGUCAUAAUUUUAACUUCUAAAAAAAUUAUCCUUUAACAAGGUAGUUAAGUAAAUUUAAUGUUCAUGUGGUAUAAUUUACUUAGCAGCCCUCUUAAAACAGUUAUAAAAACCAUAUGGCAACAGGGACAAAUACUCCUGAUAAAAAUGGCAAGUGGGGAAAAAAGCAGAAAUGCAAAAUUUGUACUACGUUGUGAUUAAAGCUAAACGUUGUAAGUGCUUAGGGCAAGAAAUAGGAAGGAGAAAAAAAAUUGAAGUUGGAUUUGUUUGUUAGGGUGGUAGGAUCCUGGAUUAAAAAAAAAAAACAAAACCCUGACAUUAUUCUGUUAUACAUUAAAAAUAAUAUUGGCGGGCAUGGUGGCUCACGCCUGUAAUCCCAGCACUUUGGGAGGCCAAGGCAGGCGGAUCACGAGGUCAGGAGAUCGAGACCAUCCUGCUAACACGGUGAAACCUCAUCUCUACUUAAAAUACAAAAAAUUAGCCAGGCGUGGUGGCACGUGCCUGUAGUCCCAGCUACCAGGGAGGCUGAGGCAGGAGAAUCACUUGAACCUGGGAGGCGGAGGUUGCAGUAAGCCGAGAUCACGCUACCGCACUCCAGCCUGGGAUACAGAGUGAGACUCCAUCUCGGGAAAAAAAAAAAAAGUUGGCCCUGUAUUAGUUUCCUAUUGUUGCUGUUAACAAAUGGUUUAAAGCAACACUAACUUAUCACCUUAGUAAUAAAUUCUGCAGUUCUGGAGGUCAGAAGUCCAAAGUGGGCAUCACAGGGCUAAAAUUAAGGUAUGGGUGGGGCUGUGUUCCUUUCAGGAGUCCUAGGGGAAAAUCCGUUUCCUUGCCCUUUCCAGCGUCUAGAGGCUGCCAGCAUUCCUUGGCUUGUUGCUCUCCUUCCUCCAUCUUCAAAGCCAAUAGCUUAGCAUCCUCAAAAGUCUGUCCACCCUCACGUCGCCUUCACUGAUGCUUAUAUGGAUCCAUGUGCUUACACUGCAUCCGCCCAGGUAAAUACAGAUAAUCCUCCUAUCUCAGGGUCCUUACCUAACCACAUCUGCAGAGUCCCUUUUGCCAUGUAAGGUGACACAUUCACAGGUCCUGGGGAUUAGGAUGUGGACAUCUCUGAGGACUCCCAUCCCCAAUCCAGAGGAUUUCCCUGAAAUGCCAAGUUCAGUGAGAACAGCUUCCCAUAUGCCUGAGUGAAGGCACAAUACUGACUGUGCGAAAGGACAUAGUGUGGGACUCCAUUUAAAUUAAAUGUCAGAACAGGCAACACUAGCCUAUGGUGGAAAAGAAUUACAAUUACCACCUCCAAGGGCGGGGUGGGGUUGACUGGGGAAGGCCAUAUUGGAAUUUUCUGGUAUGGUGAUGUUCUUUAUCCUGGCAGGGGCACAAAAGUGUAAACAAACACUACUCUCUAGUCUAGUCAAUGACACGUACUGGGGGAAUUGUAGUGAUGUCUGCCAUUUACUCUGAAGAGACAUAAUGGAUAGUUUGAUGGACAGAUGGAUAGACAGGUGAUAUAUAGAUACAGUAACAUGUUUAUGAUAGAAUCUAGGUGGUGGGUAUACAGGUGUUCAUUUUAAUCAUCUUUGUGUUGUUUGAGAAUUUUUAUAAAAAUGUUGGGGAUGGUAAGAUGUGACCCUGGAAUAUGACUCUGGCACUCUAAAAACCAUAAAUUAACAAAAAGAACUUAGAAAGCCAUUAAGCAAGCUGUUGAAUAAUUUCCUUUUUAAAAUCAAUGGUUCUCAACCUGGGCAAUUUUGGAAGGUGUCUAGAAAGGUGUGGGAGCAUUCUUGACGGUCUCUAGAACUCUCAGUAAGGGCAAAGUGUUCCUGGCACCCAGGGCAGGGUCCAGAGAAGCUACUGCAACCACGCAGCCUCUCCACAGGACUGUCUUUCUACAUUAAAUGUUACUGAGGAAUACCAAUUUAAAAUCAGAGUCUUCUCUUCGUAUCUCAUUAAUUUGCUUGCAGUUGCUUGUAGCACAUCUCCAAGUGGACUGUGACUCACUUCUCAAAAAUGUGUUGUAUCUCCCACUUUUCUGUAACCCAAGAACCCCGAGCAUAGUGCUCUACCCAGAACACAUAUUUAAUAAACAUUUGGUAACAGGGGAGGGGAUGUUCCCUGACUAUCCCAGCUUGCCCUUUCAGGCAGCUCCUUUGAUGCAAACCUACCCCACAUUCCCCCUCCUCUGACCCCCAACCCGUUAAUAGCCAGUGAGGAAGGAUGUUCACUGCUGCAUUCUUCUGCCAAGACACAAUCUUGAAACUGCAUCCCCACUGCCACCCUCCUUCACCCUGCCCAACCCCAUCCCCCUGCACCAAAUGGCAGGGGAGGCACCUGAAAAUAACCACCAUGACACAGAGCUGAGAAAAGCCGGCAUAAAGCACUUUUAUUGCAAUAAUAAAACUUGAGACUCAUAAAUGGUGCUGGGGGAAGG